AGUCAAAUCAGAAAUGUCAAUUUCUCUGUUGGAAUCAGAUGUUUCUUAACAGUUUAAUUCUGCAAUAUAGACAAAUGAUGGGUGAGGAACUUUCUGGUCUGAGCGUCAAAGAUUUGCAGAACUUGGAGAACCAACUGGAAACCAGUCUCCGUGGUGUUCGUGUAAGAAAGGUAUGAAAUUUCCAGAUCCAACAAAUGUUCACUAUAUGAAUUAAGUAAAACCUAACUCUAAACUCACGUGUCUACAGGACGAAAUUCUGAU
RNAcentral lists this unclassified non-coding RNA (261 nucleotides) under Hevea brasiliensis (rubber tree). Lineage: Eukaryota; Viridiplantae; Streptophyta; Magnoliopsida; Malpighiales; Euphorbiaceae. The record is from RNAcentral.